CAGCUUCCCUUGUCAAUGUGGGCUUGAUUAACUGCUCCCUGUUGGUGCUGAGAAAAUGAAGCCAAGUAAAUAGACUUCUGUUUCCUUUCCAGGUGAAGAUGAUGGCUGCUGCAGAAGUCAUCCCUUAAUUUGGUGGCUCUAAAGAUGGACAUUUUGCUGAAAAAAAAAAAAAAAAGUGGAACCCAGUGGCACCAAGCCGCCAUGUGUAAGAACAUAAAUCCCAGGGAAGGUGUGAUAAUCACUUCCUGGGUUUGUUUCUCCUCUGGGUCCUAUAGCCAAGUGUCAUGAUCUCCAUUUCAUGGAAUCGGGGAACUAAGGUUCAGAGAUGUUUACUUCUGUCCCUGGGGCCACAUGCCAUCAGGGAAUGGAACCCAGACUAGCACCCAGUCUGCCUGGCUGUGAGUUCUUGACGCUCUUCCCAGGGGGGCAGGAGGAGAGCUGGCAAUGUCAGAGGUCCUUGGAAGGUGCACCUCUCUGGGGAGAAUCCUUUCCCCCAUUACUUCAGUUGCCAGAUGCUUCCUGUGUGAUUAAAUGAUUGCAUUAAUUACGAUUGAGGCAGUUGGCUAGUAUAUAUCAAAAGUCCCAUUCAGGUAGGGUACAUUCCUUGUAGGCAGAGGGUGGAGCAUCCAAUGGAGCAUCAUUUGGGUCUUAUUUUUGGAGGGGGGUGCCAGGGAUUGAACUCAGGGGCACUCAACCACUGAACCACAUCCCCAGCCCUAUUUGUAUUUAUUUCGAGACAGGGUCUCCCUGAGUUGCUUAGGGCCUUGUUAAGUUGCUGAAACUGACUUUGAACUUGUGAUCCUCCUGCCUCAGCCUCCUGAGCUGCUGGGGUUAUAGGCAUGCGCCACUGCGUCUGGCUGGUCUUCUUUUGAGAGGUCACUUGGACUCUUGGUCUGUACCCUGGCAGCCUGGACUUUGGGCAUUAAAAAAAAAAUCACUCCUGUCAUUAAGGGCUGUCCUGUGGACCUUCUGGGCCAUUCUCCCCAUCAAGUGCAUUAUACUCAAAGGUACCAUCUUCAGGUUGAAAGUAGAAAUCUUAUCAUAAAACAUCUUCACCCUCCAGCACCCAGAUCUGUCACGGAUCCAAGAACUCUUUGUUCCAAUCAUCAGAAUGGGUUGGAUGGUGUCUAAUCAUGAAAGGGACAGACUCCAAAAUGGAGGCCACCCUCAGCAUAGUAUCCAGAUGCCUUCCCUUGACCCCCAAGAUCUUCCUCCAUGUGCCUGCCCCUCAUUCUCUACUUCCCUCAAAGUCACUGACACCUUAAGCCUUUCCUGUGCCUGAGAUUUUCUUGGGUCUGGCACUGCUUGUUCUGUGUCAGCUGAAAUGUCACCUCUUCAGAGCGCCCUUCCUUCCUAUGGGCGUGAACUUUGAUGGGACCUUGUCAUAUCUCAUUAUCUCAUUACAGCACUGUUUGCUGUCUGAAUACCUGUGCUUGGUUCUCUUGUGACUCUCUCCAUGGCCAACAUGAGAGCUCUCUAGAAACAGACAUGGUCUCUGGUCAAACUGAAUUUUCUCAGUGUCUAGCACAGUGCCAGACAUGGAGUAAGUGCUCAAUAAACACUUGGAAUUUUUAAUCAGCAAAAUCAAAGACAUACAUAUGGAUCAUAAAACUGUCUUUUUUUUUUUUUUGGCCAUAGAAUCUGAGUUAAUAGGGGAAGGGAUAUAUAUAAUGGAGAGGUUAUCAGUGAAUAAUUUAUUAUUUGCUAGUAUUCUUUUUUAAGUCUCAGCUGAAUUCUCUGAUUUCCAUUAAGCAUUGUCCGUAGGUUCCUUCUUUCCCAUUCUGGUACCGAUAUCAACCAUGAGCUACUUUUCCUGCCUUGACCCCUUCCCUCACCUCCCCAGGGCUUCCUAACCUCACCAUAUCUUCUUAGCUCAAAGAAUUUCCAUCUUUGAGGAUGCCCUCCAGGUAAAUCAGACUCUUUCCCGUGACUUGGGAGAUGCUUUGUGAUUCUGCCUGUGCCCAGAAGCUAGCUCCACUGUUCAUCUUCAUUCCAUCUACACUCCAGCCAGAAUCCUGGACUCCCCCCUCACUUGCCACUAGACUUAGGUAGAUGUUGGUCCCUCCGCUCCCAGUUCCACCCUUCAAUUUGCCAAACUAACACCCCUAUUCCUCUUGUGCUUUGAGACAUUGGCGUUACGGCUUAGAUGUGGUGGGACCCCCAAAAGCUCACAGGUGAGACAAUGCAGGAGGGUCCAGAGGAGACAUGACUGGGUUGUGAGAGCCUUAACCCAACCAGUGAAUGAACCCCUGAUGGGAUUAACUGGGUGGUGGCUGGAGGCAGGUGGGUGUGGCUGGAGGAGGGGGCAUCGGGGGCAUGGCUUUGGGGUCUCUAUUUGUCUCUGGAGAGUGGAGUCUCUCUCUGCUUCCUGGUCACCAUGUGAGCUGCUUCCCUCCACCACACUCUUCCUCCAUGAUGUCCUGCCUCCCCUCGAGCCCUGAGGAAUGAGCCUGCUGUCUAUGGACUGAGACCUCUGAAACCCUGAGCCCCCAGAUAAACUUUUCCUCCUCUGCAGUUGUUCUGGUGGGUCUUUUGGUCACUACCUUCUGAACCUUCCCCACUCACCACACCUUCUCCUAACUGGGCUUCUCUACCAUCUUACAUUUUACCCAUCAUAAUAGAAGAAUUUGGUACCAAACCAUCCUGUCUCUUAGGCACUGUGGAAUCUUCAGCAAGUCAUUUCGUCAUUGCUCUUAAUUCCAGUUUAUGCAAUGGAGACUGGGCCUUGCAGGCAGAGUUCAUGAACCAUUAUGUGUGAAAGCAUUUGCUUUCUGUUGCUAUCUGGUGGUGAGCAGGCUGGGCUUGGCAAUGAAUGUCUUCACCUUGCCCUUCACCUUCCCCUCCCUACAAAUGCUUAUUGACAAUUCAGGGCUCUUGAUGCAAUAUCUUUCAUCAUCUUUUGAUUCAAUAUAGAUGAUUAAUCUAUAGAUUAAGUCUUAGGAUAUCAGCAUAGCUUCCCAGGUUUUAAUACUUCUUCAAACUGCCCGCCCCACACAACUAAGUCUAAUACUACUCUCCUUUUUUCUUUUUUUUAAAUGUUCUUUUUAGAGAUCCAUGACAAUCGAGUGUAUUUUGACCUGUCACACAUACAUGGAGUCUAAGUUCCCAUUCUUGUGGUUGAACAUGAUGUGGAGUUUUCCCUGGUCUUGUGUUCACAUAUGAACAGAGGAAACCCUCUUUUUAACCUGUAGCAAAACGAAUGGAUCACUCAUGUGAUUGGAUGAAUAUUCACCAACUCUAGCAGAGGAGAGGUAAAGCCACUUUUUUUUCCCUGUGUUGAUCAUAGUCUAACCAUAGACUUGGAGCUAUCCAAGUAGUGUCUUUUCCUUAGUUGCCCUUAGAAAGCAUAUUAUAGCAUCUCUUUUCCAAAAUUAAGAUCCUGGCAUUCAACAGAUAUCUAUUGCAAUUAAAUGAACAGCAUUUUUGAACCCUAGUGCAUUUCCCACUGUCCAAAAUGGCUCUUUCAGAUCUUUCCUUCAAUUUCCUACCCAACACCAGCCCACCCCUAUCCCUCUUCAGCUGGUAACCCUGUGCUGUGGUUCAGAUAGGGCCUGUCCCCCAAAGAUUCGUGGGCUAAAGGAUUGGCCUCCAGGGUGGCAUGUGUUGAAGUGGCGGACCCUUCAAGAGGCAGGGCCUAGUGGGAGUGAUUAUGUCAUGGCGGUCCACUCUCAUGAAUGGAUAAAUGGUGGUCGUCAGGAAUGGGUUCAGGUAGGAAUGGAUUUGUUCCCAGGAAAGAGAGUACUAUGGUACGGAUCGUUAAUGUUGCCCCCAAAGCUCGUGUUUUGAAAGCAUAAUCCCUAAUACAGCCAGGUUCAGAGGUGGGGCUUCUAGGCAAUGAUUAGGUUAUGAAAGCUGUAAUCUUACCAGUGGGUUAAUUAAUUUGAUGGAUUAAUAAUUUUAAUAGACUUCUGGGUGAUAAUUGUAGGUAUAUGGCGCAUGGCUGGAGGAAGUAGGUCACUUGGGUGUACCCUUGGGGAUUAUAUAUUGUCCCUGGCUUUUCUCCCUCUCUCUCCCUCCCCUCCCACCCCCAACAAGUCCCUACCCCUCUCUCUCUCUCUCUCUCUCUCUCUCUCUCUCACUCUCUGCUUCCUGGCCACUCUGGGCUGAGCAUCUUUCCUUCACCACACCCUUCCACCAUCAUGUUCUGCCUCAAUAGGGCCCAGAGCAGGAGAGUUGGCUGACCAUGGACCAAUGAAACUAUGAGCCAAAAUAAACUCCUCUCACUGGUUUGUGCCACAGCAGCUUAAGGUUGACUAACGCAGUGGGUGAUUAUAAAGAGAGUAGGUUGUUACCAAAAGAGUGAACCAGGUCCCUCCUCAUUUCAUUCUUCCUGUCUUAUCAUAUUAUCCCUCCUACACUCGACCCCUUCUCCUUCCAUUUUCUGCAUGUUGUGAGGCAGCAGGGGUUGGGGGGGGGCCCUCUCCAGGAUGCUGGUUCUGUGCUAUUUGGACCUUCCAGGCACCAAGAAACCUGUUUACUAUGCAAAUAAAUAUUUUAAAAGACAGUAGUGGGCAGACAGCAGAUGCUACUGUAGUUCCCCACUGCCUGGUUUGCCUCCCGGAUCAGACGGCAUUUAUCUUGUGUACUUUUUGACCGCUUAGCUGUCACUCAGGAAUUAAAAAAUAAAUAAAAUACAAUAACAUGAAAUGAUGCUUUAUGUGGCUUUAAAGGAAACUUGGAGACUUUUCAUCAGCUGUCAAAUUGUCUGAGAAGCUCACCGUGCCCAGAAAUUGCUUGGGCCCUUCUCCCCUUUGUGUGUGAUGACCAAGUGGCCUUGAAACCAACCCCCCAGGGAGUCUGAGCUCACAGAACCCGCCAUUUAGAGUGUAACGUAAGAAGGUCAUUGCUGGGAGCACCACUGUGCAUGGUGGUACCUUUCAGUGGAGUGAAAACUUGAAAAAUAGGGUGGUCUCAGCCAAGGGUCGGAUUGCAGAUCCCGAUGCUUUAUGUGUGGAGCAGGCCUGCAGACAAAUACAUAAUCACAGAGGUAUGUGAUCUGGUCUGAAAACUGGGGCCAGAUAGAAUAACACGGGCAGAAAGCCUUCCACACACACACACGUCACCAAGAGCACUCUUAUUUGUAAAAACCACAUUAAUGGAGAGCAGCUUCCUACCUCUGAAGUGAUUUAUAAAUUAAAAUAAUUGCUUCUUUGAACUGUUCAGAUAUUAAUUGACCUAUCACUAAUGUAAGUACAGUCUCCAAUCCAUCCAAACAUUACCUAAACAUUUUUAUUCCCUUUAUUCGGGAAAUCCAAAAAAAAAAAAAAAAUCCCACAAAAAUAGACCCUUUGUUCUGGUGCCAAGGGUCAUAAAGGAAAACCAUCGUCUUUGAUGACUUUGCAAUUCCUAUUCUAUUUCUUCAUGAAAUUAAUUCCAAGGGAAAUGGUAAGUAUUCUGAACCCUUCCCUCCCCACGUCCCCUGUUAACAAGUUCAUCCCUGAGCACAUGGAUCCAGUCCUAGCUCAGAUUUCUGGUAAUGAGAGAAGGGCAGUUCAUUAUUUUUUCUUUUAUUAACUUUAGCUUUGGGUACAUACCCCAAAGCAGCUUAGAUUUGGGGCGAGUGGUAUUUCCUUCCUGGGUAAAACAAGGGAGAAACAAAAUCUGGUCACAGUGGUUUGGGAGGCUGAGGCAGGAGGAUGGUGAGUUCAAAGCCAGCCUCAGCAUCUUAGUGAGACUCUGACUCUAAAUAAAACAUAAAAAGGGCUAGGGGUGGGGCUCAGUGGUUAGGCCCCUCUGGGUUUAUGCGCAGAUGGCAGAUGUGCUUACCUUGUGAUAUGUCUCCUGGGCCCACUUGGUGAGGAUGAUUUUGACCUAUUUUGAGAGGCAGAGAGAAACAUGCAGUUAAGACAGGAAUUCUAAGGCACUGGUUCUAAACCAGGGUGAAUUUUACCUCCUAUGAAAUUCUCCAAUGUCUGAAGAAACUUUUGGUCUUUCUGACUUGCAGGAAAGUACAGAAAGGGCUACUGACUAUCUAACAAGUAGAGGCCAGGAAGCCCACUCAACCUUCUAUAAUGAAGACACAGCACCACCAUCUCCUACCCCCGAGAAAACACAAAGUACCAUCCAGUCCAAACAUGAACAGUGCUGACCUUGAGAAAACCUGCCCUAGAGUUUUUAAAAUUUGUUCUUUUUACAUUUAUGUGACAGUAUAGACAUGGAGUAUAACUUAUUCUAAUUAGGAUGCCAUUCUUGUGGUUGUACAUAUUGUGAAGCUUCACUGGUCAUGUGUUCAUAUGUGAACUUAGGAAAGUUCUGUCCCAUUCAUUCCAGUGUCUUUCCUGUUCCAAUUCUUACUUCCUUCCCUCAUCCCCCUUGUCUAAUCCAAUAAACCCGACCUUAUUGUGUGUUAGCAUCUGCAUAUCAGAUAGAACAUGUGGUCUUUGGUUUUGGGGGAUUGGAAUAUUUCAUGUUUCAUGAUAGUCUCCAGUUCCAUCCAUUUACCAGCAAAUGCCAUAAUUUCAUUGUUUUAAUGGCUGAGUAAUAUUCCAUUGUGUAUAUGUACCAUAUUUUUGUUAUCCAUUUAGAGUUUAAUAUACUUGAAUUUAUAUCCAGUUUUGCUGCUUUGUGGCUGUGGGUCCUUGGUAUGCUCCUUGAUCUCUUUGAGCCUCAAGUUUUUUUUCUGUCAAAUAUAAUGCUCAAGUACCUACUUUGUUGGCAUUUUAUCAAGCCUGGAAGUUACAAGUGCUUAAAACAUUUUGUUAUUUAUCUUUUACUGUAUCUUAAAUAGCAAUGCAAAUAAUCAUGAUUAGAGGGGGGACUUUCAACUUUAAAAAUGUUUUUAUUUUUGCCAGGUGCUGUGGUGCACACCUAUACUCCCAGUGGCUCAGAAGGUUGAGGCAGGAGGAUUUCAAGUUCAAAGCCAGCCUUAGCAACUUAGCAAGGCUCUAAGCAACUCAGCAAGAUCCUGUCUCAAAAAAAUUUAAAAAUAAAAAGGGCUGGGGAUGUAGCUCAGUGGUUAAGCACUCCUGGGUUCAGUCCCCAGUACCAAAAAUUAUUUUUAAUAUUACACACAUUAUGGAGUACAGCACAAUAAUUUGGUACAUAUAUACAGUCCCAAAUAAUCCAAUCAGGGUAAUUAGCAUUUCUACUUCCUCAAACAUUUCUCAUUUGUAUGUGCUGGGAAACUUCAGACUGCUCUUUUCUAGCUGUUUUGCAACAUGUCAUAAAUUGUUGUAGACCACAAUUGUCCCUCUGUGCUAAAGAACACAAGAACUCCUUCCUCCUCUCUAACUGUACAUUGGUAGCUGUUACCUGCAUUCUCUCUGGUCUCCCCUUUUCAGUCUCUGGUGACCUUGAAUCUGGUCUGUUCUUCUAUGACAUCAACAUUUUUGGUUUCCACCAAUGAGUGAGAAUAUGCAGGUAUUUGUAUCCUGUGCCUGACUUAUUUUACUUAACACGAUGUCCUCUAGUUUUAUCCAUGCUCUGCAAAUGACAGAGUUUUCUUCUUUUCUAUGGUUGAAUAAUGUUUCAUUGUGUAGACAUACCACAUUUUCUUCAAUCACUCAUCCCCCAAUGGAUACCUUACUUGACUCCUUAUCUUAGCUAUUUUGCAUCGUGUUAUCAUAACAUGGGAGUGUAGGGUUCUCUUUGAUAUGAUGGUUUCCUUUUCUUUUGGUAUAUACCCAGCAAUGGGAUUCUUACCCUAUGGUAGUUCGAGUGGGUUUUUAUGUUAGUUUUCCAUACUGACAGAGCUAAUGUUUUACCAACGUACCACGGUAUUAGAAUUCACUACAUCCUCAGCAGCACUUAGUAUUAUAUUUGUCUUUUUUGAUAAUAGCCAUUCUAACAGAGGUGAGAUGACAUUGCAACCUUUAAAUUUCAAUUCUAAAGCCAAGGUUUAUUUUCUCUUUAUAUUAGUAACGAAUGAAAGGAUACAAACUGAAUUUCAAUCAUAUCUACAAAAUAGAAGAAUUUGGUAGUAAUUGACUUGUCACUUAAUGUGACUAAUAUUAAUUUCAAAAUGUCAAAGACCUAUUCUGCUGCCAUUUAGUACUAGAUAAGGUUUGAUUAUUAAUAAAAUUGAUUACAAAUCAAAUUUUCCACCAUCUACACAGCUCCAUGGUUGCUAAGAUAGAAACACUUGCUUUACAGAAAUAUUUUCUUUAAUUCAAAUAUUUUUUACUAUUUGUCAUACUAAACCAUAAAUAGUGAAAAAACAAAACAAAACAAAACAAAAACCCCAAACAAACCUAUUUACAAUAGUUUUUAAACAAAACAAAAUACAGGUUUUUCAGUGGCCAAAGACAUUACUCCAAAAUGCCCAAAUAGAGUGGAACAAAAUGGGAAUAUAAGUCAUAUUGUCAUUUUUUUCCAUAAUUUAUGACAUUAUUUAGUAUAAUAAAUAUAUUUAAGUAUAUUUAUUAUACUUAAAUAAUGUCAGUUUAAGUAUGUAAAUCAGCAAAUUAUGACUUCUGUAGAAAUGUUAAUAUUUUUGGGGGGUGUACUGGGGAUUGAACCCAGGGGUGCUCUACCACUGAGCCCCAUCCUUAGCCAUAUUUUGUAUUGUAUUUAGAGACAGGGUCUCACUGAGUUGCUUAGGGCCUUGCUAAGUUGCUGAGGCUGGCUUUGAACUUGAGAUCCUCCUGCCUCAGCCUCCUGAGCCUCUGGGAUUACAUGUGUGCGCCACCAUGCCCAGCUCAAAAUUUAUUUUUUAUUUGAUUAAAGAAAUCAGUUUGGGCUUAGAACAUGCUUAUGCCCAAAUUUUUCUGAAAUUGCUAUUUAAAAUAAGAAGUAUUUUGGUAUCCCAUAGAAUUAAUAAUCUGUCAACUUUGAAGAUUUUUCUCCCGGGACAGCUUGAGGUGUGGCAAUCACACUCUCCCAGCACUUCCAAUGCUGCAAUGGUACCAGUUGAUUUAAUGGGUUAAAGAGCAUAGUCUUUUGAUCAUUCUAGAAAUAUUUCUGGAGUGCCAACUACAUGUUCCCACUGGGACGGGCACUGGGGACAUAUUCAUGUUUGGAACAUGCAAAUGAUCUGGAGGCUGUGCAGCUUGGUGAGGACUCAGAGCUCUGCACAGAGAGGUGACUUCACUUCUGGCUACUCAACUUGCAAGAAUCAUUUCUUUUUUAUGUGUGUGGUACCAGGAAUUGAGCCCGGGGAGGCGCCACUGAGCCACAUCCCCUGCUCUUUUUUUCUCUUUUAUUUAGAGACAGGGUCUUACUGAGUUGCUUAACCCUCCCUUGUUAAGUUGCUGAGGCUGGCUUUGAACUUGCGACCCUCCUCCCUCAGCCUCCGGAGCCGCUGGGAUUACAGGUGUUUAUCACCACACCUGGCAGGAAUGUUUCUUCAGGUGAAAACAGGGUGAUGGAAUCUUUCUCACAGGACUGUUGAGGGGAUGGUAGUAAAGAACAGUGAGUUUGUUGUUCAUUAAGAAAAUUGCUCCAGCUGGGUGCUGUGCACUUAGCUUGAUUGUCUCCAGUUCCACCCAUUUACUGUCAAAUGCCACAAUUUCAUUCUUUUUAUGGCUCAGUAAUAUUCCAUUGUGUAUAUGCACCACAUAUUCAUUAUCCAUUUAGAGUUUAAUGUGCUUGAAUUCCUAUCCAGUUUUGCUGCUUUGUGGCUGUGGGAACUUGGUAUGCUCCUUGAUCUCUUUGAGCCUCAAGUUUCUCUUCUGUCAAAUAUAAUGGUCAAGUACCUACUUUGUUGGCAUUUGAUCAAGCCUGUUUUCAAAUGUUUUAAAACAUUUUGUUUUUUAUCUUUUACUGUAUUUUAAAUUGCAAUGCAAAUAAUCACGAUUUGAGGGGGGACUAUCAACUUUAAAAAUGUUUAUAUUUUUGCCAGGUGCUGUGGUGCACACUAAUACUCCCAGCAGCUCAGGAGGCUGAGGCAGGAGGAUUGCAAGUUCAAAACCAUCCUCAGCAACUUAUCGAGGCCCUAAGCAACUUAUUUAGAGAUCCUGUCUCCAAAUAAAAUACAAAAUAGGGCUGGGGAUGUGGCUCAGUUGUUGAGUGCUCCUGGGUUCAAUCCCCAGUACCACCUCCCCCCAAAAAAUAAAAAUAAAAUUGUUCCCAAAUGGUUAUAUAGAUUCUUAAAAUGACUACUGUGUAAAUUUUUUUUUUUAUCAUCUAGAAGCUGGCUGUUUUUCUGUGUUGGCUAGGGAAUUUAAAAGGCAUGAUUCUGCAAUAUGUACACUCAGAAAAAUGAGAAAUUAUAUCCCAUCUAUGUAUGAUGUAUCAAAGUGCAUAAAUGCAUUCUACUGUCAUGUAGAACUAAUGAAAACAAAUUAAAAAGUUAGAAAAAAAGGCAUUGCUUACCAGAGGAGGAAUCAAAUAGAGCAGAUGUCACAAGGUAACCUAGAUUUCCUUUUGUUGUUAUUUAAAAACAAAACAAAACAAAACCAAAAACACUUCUGAUGGCCAUAGGAAAGCUUAACCCAAUAGCCAGAUAAGCUUCUCUCCACCGCGUUGUUUGCAUAUUUUCCUUAGACGUGGGAAAGUUGUUGGGAAACAAAUUGUCCCGUGGGCCACAUUCAGUGCUGCUGUGGCUUUUUGCUGGUGGACGACAACAUCCCGGGGAAGACAAAAUUCAAUUAACAUGGCAAAAAUCAGAAGACUGAUAUUUCUUUUUCAUACACAUAGUAUUUGUUUUCUUAUGGUGAAAGCCGUGUCCAUUUCUUGUGUAAAAUACAUAAAAGCCCAAAGAAUAAAACUGAAAAUUCAACUCUACAAUCAAAGCCCAGAGAGAAGAUUUUGGGUUUUUUUGCACCUACAUGUAAAAUGUUAUUUUCUUUCAAUGAGAUUUUCGUGAUCAGGAUCACUAAAGGUCAUUGUAGAACAGGGAUCAGUAUACAUUUUUUGGGAAGGUCACCCAUCACCGUGGCUCUGUGACAACCACUGCACUCUGCCACGGUGGAGUGAAGGCAGGUGAACAGACACAGCUGGGUUCUGCCCAGGGCAGCCUGGGGUUCCCCAUGCCUGCCGUCUGCUGACUCCUUCAAGGGAAUCCUCAGUUACUAUCAUAGUUAUUAAAUACAAUGAUGCUUAAAGCGGAAAGAAGUCAUGUCAUUUGCAGGAAAAUGGAUGGAACUUGAGAUCAUCAUGUUGAAUCAAAGAAGCCAGACGCAGAAAGUCAAGGGUGCAUGUUUCUUCUCAUGUGUAG
This 11095-nucleotide long non-coding RNA is filed under the name Marmota monax (woodchuck). The record is from RNAcentral. Lineage: Eukaryota; Metazoa; Chordata; Mammalia; Rodentia; Sciuridae.